CAGAAGAUAGUUUAAUGAGAAUGCCAGCUUUGGGAGUUGGUGAUAGAGGUUUGAGUCCUCUUUUUCUGAAGUUGC
Molecule: transfer RNA, 75 nt
Filed under: Falco tinnunculus (common kestrel)
Lineage: Eukaryota; Metazoa; Chordata; Aves; Falconiformes; Falconidae
Also listed under: 1 other name
Description: tRNA-Pro
Rfam family: tRNA
About the family: Transfer RNA (tRNA) molecules are approximately 80 nucleotides in length. Their secondary structure includes four short double-helical elements and three loops (D, anti-codon, and T loops).
Source: RNAcentral